RNAcentral lists this unclassified non-coding RNA (230 nucleotides) under Hevea brasiliensis (rubber tree). Lineage: Eukaryota; Viridiplantae; Streptophyta; Magnoliopsida; Malpighiales; Euphorbiaceae. The record is from RNAcentral.
UUGGAGUUCAUGCCAGAGAGGUUCCUGACCAGCCAUGUUGGGGUCGACGUUCGUGGGCAGCACUUGGAGCUUAUCCCAUUCGGUUCUGGCAGGAGGGUUUGUCCUGGGAUAUCAUUUUCAAUGCAAGUGAUCCACUUGACAAUUGCUCGCCUCGUCCAGGCGUUCAACCUCGAAACGCCUGGCAAUGUUCCCGUCGAUUUGAGUCCUGGACUAGGUGUCACUGCAGCAAA